GUGAGAGAGAAAACAUGCGCAUGCGCCGCGCCAGAUAGCCCGCGUCGCGAGUUGCAGUUCCUGAAUUGGAUUACCGCAUUGGAUUACGACUGGAAACAUUGGAUUGUAGAUUUACAGACAUUGCAUUGUAGAUUUGACAAAUCUCGAAUCGGAGUGGUCGUCCCGGAACCGAGUAGUGUUUUUGGAUUUUUACUGUGCUACAUGUACAUGCUUCAUCCGGCGAUGCAGUAUUAAAUAAAUGUGAGAUAUUUUAAAAACGCAAGAAAAUAAAAAAAAAUCGAGAUUACAUUAAAGCGAAAACUAUAUUUCAAUGCGUGCGUGCUUAAGAUUCAUGUAAAUUUAUUAAUUUAUUGAUUGCGAUUUUUCUCUCCCCCGGGAAGAACUUGGUCUCGUGUGAGUGAGAUUGUAAAUAAGUGUACAUUUUAAAAGGCUUAGUUAUUUUCUCAUAAAAAAUAUGUCUCGUGGGCCCUUGAUGAUAUGCUCAAAAAUUUAGUUACCAGUUAUAUUGAAGUGCGCGAUUUUUUGUAGUUUUUUCUGUUUUUGUCACGAUUGUGAAAAAUCUGCGUGCAAGUGUAUGUGCUUUCUUAAAACAGAGAGAAACUGAACACGAUGAAGUACCUUUUUACGGUUUUGGCGCUGUCUUCAGUUCUGGCCAUAGCCUCGUCGCUGGGCUCGGAAGACGCCGACGCAAAACCGAAAAAAGGCGAUAAAUUCUCGGCACAAAGACGCCUGAGUCGCAAUGGAGCCCUGAGCCCGCAGAAGAGGCUAGCACGACAGCAGAAUCCUACGUCGACGCCGGCGGUACCAUCGUACGCGGUGCCCAUGGAGCCUCUGGUACAGUACUCGCAACGGGAUCCCCUGUACCACGACAAGGAUGAUGAACCCAUCGUAGAGAGCUUCACUACACCCGGCUACGAGCAGAAGUCGCGGAUAGACCAUCUCGUCGCGGAGCCGAGCAAUCACAUCACUGAUAUCUCUGGAGCAGGUUACGUGGAGCGUGGCGGGUACAACGGUCCCUUCCUGGACCAUCCGGCCCCCGUCUACGGCGUGCCAACCUACUACAAAGAACCGGAGCCGAUAAUCGAGAUAAUCAUCAAAGAAUCGAACGAAUCCCUACCGGCCCCCCCCACACCUCCCACUCCACCACCGACCCCACCCACCAAGGAGCCCGUCCAGGUCUUCUACGUCAAGUACAAGAAGAACCCAAACAGCCACGGUAAAGAGGAUGACGUCAUCUACGACCCACCUAUCCCAGCCCUAAGUCCCCACACCCACGACAUCGUCGAACCCUCCCACCAGCCGGCGCCUCCCGUCCCCACUUACGGCGCGCCCCCCGCGACGGUGGCCCCGCCCCCUAGCACCACCAUCAAAGCUAUCAUCAGGCCAGAUUCGGAGACGUACCACGGGACCUCCGGGUUGCGGAUUUCCUUCGGGAAACCCGACGAGACCGGCCACGACUUCGCGUCGUACCAUCGGGCGGCCAUCGCCGACGGCCCGAUUGAAGCCCAAAAGCGCGAUUCCAUCAGCGAACAGAGCGAGCCACACUUCAGCCAAGUCUCCAGUUCGAGCCCCGUGGAUUUGACUGAAAAAACCGAGUGUCGCUAUAGUCACGCCUCAUGCUCACAAGCGGCAGCAAACCGAGUUUCAGCCUCAACCCACUCCGGAAGUCAAGUUUACGCGGCAGGAGCCUUUCAUUCCCUCGCAACCCCACAUUGA
Molecule: long non-coding RNA, 1716 nt
Filed under: Bemisia tabaci
Lineage: Eukaryota; Metazoa; Arthropoda; Insecta; Hemiptera; Aleyrodidae
Description: lncRNA ENSASIAIIG006007
Source: RNAcentral